Molecule: ribosomal RNA, 331 nt
Filed under: uncultured bacterium
Lineage: Bacteria
Description: partial 16S ribosomal RNA
Source: RNAcentral
UGUUACGACUUCACCCCAGUCAUGAAUCACUCCGUGGUAACCGUCCCCCUUGCGGUUAGACUAGCUACUUCUGGAGCAACCCACUCCCAUGGUGUGACGGGCGGUGUGUACAAGGCCCGGGAACGUAUUCACCGUGACAUUCUGAUUCACGAUUACUAGCGAUUCCGACUUCACGCAGUCGAGUUGCAGACUGCGAUCCGGACUACGAUCGGUUUUAUGGGAUUAGCUCCACCUCGCGGCUUGGCAACCCUUUGUACCGACCAUUGUAGCACGUGUGUAGCCCUGGCCGUAAGGGCCAUGAUGACUUGACGUCAUCCCCACCUUCCUCCGG